UACGACCCUUUGCGUGUCCCUUUCUGAUUGGGUGAAGAAAAAAUAUACUGCCCAAAUCUCUUUCUAUUAUUUUUGUGUCUUCCUCUCUCUCUCUUUUGGAAUCGGUUGAUCAAAACAUGAAUCGGAAUAAUUUUGUGAGAUAUGAGAGUUUGGUUAAAUUUGUUUCUAUGUCAGGAUAUGGUGCCAAGUGAGUAUCAGAGGAGCUGGAGGGCGUUGCUUGUUUGUUUCCACGGUGUUUCUUCAUCUGCUUUGACAACGACCCAGUACAGGUUUAAAAUCUUUUUGAAACAAAAAAUGAUAACUACCCAAGAGAUGGGAGAUGCGAAGUUGGAUCUUUUGCUCUGUUUCAAUUUUCUUUCUUAAUUGCUAUAUAUAUAGUUAGAGUACACGAGUUCUCUAUACUGCCGUGUGUUGUUUCCUUCUUCUCUUGCAGCCAAGACCCGGACGUGUGUGUGUAAUAUUUUCUUGGAAAGUCUUUCUCUGCAAUUUUUGGGUUUAGCCGUUUAGGUGGUGUCAAUGCUACUUGGUUAUACAAUAUAUUACGAACGUACUUGUUAAGAAUGUCACCUACCUACCUUUCCACACUUUUUGAUGACUGCUGUCUUUGGCUUGAGACAAACUAUAUAUGACUGGUUUCUUGGCCAAAGUGCAGAUUGAUUCUUCAGCACACUUGGCUAAUCGUUCUAGCAGUAGUGGUUUGGCUGGAUCAUCCUCUACUGGUGCUUCUCUCAAUGGAAACGAUUAUGAUCACAAUUAUAGAUGAAAGUGAAGAAGUACCCAUGAAUUUAUGUAUAAGCACCAAUCAAGAAUACAAUUAAUCGUUUUUGUAAUGUGUUUUAGACAUGCUUUUAUGUAUUGUUUGUUUAAAAUCUUAUGAAUAUAUUCAUUUUCAAGUUUU
This is a non-coding RNA of Camelina sativa (false flax), 898 nucleotides long. Lineage: Eukaryota; Viridiplantae; Streptophyta; Magnoliopsida; Brassicales; Brassicaceae. The record is from RefSeq and is a predicted model, not a curated record.